Molecule: long non-coding RNA, 3520 nt
Filed under: Nicotiana benthamiana
Lineage: Eukaryota; Viridiplantae; Streptophyta; Magnoliopsida; Solanales; Solanaceae
Description: long non-coding RNA (NBEN_LNC011470)
Source: RNAcentral
UCAGAAAUUACAUCAGACAAAAGGAAAAGUAGAAGGACAAACUACUGGAAUUACUGGUCUUUGCAAGGAAUUGUGGGUAGUAAUCCAGCACACUUGACUGAAGCUUCAACAUGCAACACAAAAGAGGCAAACCAGAGUAGUCAACUUGUCAUCAUAUACAGAUCUUGGCAAUCCACACUGCAGCAUGGAAACAAAGUCAACAGGCAUAAUAGAGCAGAGUUAUAUCCACAAGCUAAGGCAACACAAUACUUACAUGCAGCAGUAGAUCAUAGGGAAAGGAUAUGCAACAAUUCUAGGAAACCAGAAGGAAAUUCCAUGAACAAGCAAUGGCAUGAUAAAACUGGAAAAACAACGCUCAGAUCUUGGCAGUCCAAAAUUCACCAGCGUAACAAAAGCAGCUGCUAUAAUAGAACAGUGCUAGGCACAAAGACAUCACAAUAGUCACAUGCAGUGGGAGAUAACAAAUUCAGACACACAAGAGAUCACAAGAUAAAGUAGCACAACAAUGCGAUGAACUCAGCAGGGAAUUCAAUGAACAAACAAGGUAAAUUUGGAAUAAGAAAGAGGGUCAAAGGGAGAUACUGGGUAAACGUUACUUCCUAUGGUAAAUACAGAGAUGAGCAAAUAGAAACAGUAUAUACAAGGAAGAGUUUAGCUACACAAAUGAGCUAUAAAGGUGGAUAUACAUACAGUCACACGUGAAGCCUAAAAUUGGGUCGUAUUUGGACUAUUUUUGCAAGAUGUGUAAAUGGACAUAUUUUGGACAAAAAUGGCUACAGCUUUAACAUGUAUACAUCGCAAUGGGCAUGGAAUGGCUACAACAAAUGGGCUAAAUUGAGAUGUAUCGAGAUUACAGUUAUAAAGGCAAAUAAUGUUGGAUACAAAUACAUACAUAUGGAUUGGGGUGCUAAGAAAAAGACUGUUGCAUGAACGUCAUGGGCUAGUUUAUAUACAAAGUCUAUUAGUUUUCUCUUUGUGAUAUCAACUUUGAGUACACUACUCAAUUUUGAUAACAUGGCUUAUGUAUUGUACAUAGUUUAUUACAUUCAUUUCGUAGGUCUUCAUGACAAUUAUUGUUUUAUUAUUUUUAUAGAUAAAUAAAAACUAGCCCUAGGCUACGCCUAGUGGAUUGCCAAAAAAAAAGUAAAUAAACAUUCCUACUAGGGAUCUGGCAUGAGGUUACAUUAUUCUAAGUUUAAACCUUGGGUUAUGUUCUAGAUCUGGCUUACCCUAGCGAACAAACUCGAGCCGAAGAUGGGGCAACAUACCGGGAGCAAGAAAGUCUGUCCGCCCUUGUUAUUGGUCCAGCCUCGCUCUAUUUGGUAUAACUUCUAACAGAAAAGUGGGCCAUAUGAAUGUGUGCACCAUUUUUUAGAAGACUCAUGGAGAAGAGGGUUUCGUAACAAUUUAUAUACAAUUUAAAUAAUAUCAAAGCGAGUAAAAAUUGGCAUUUAGCAUAUUAAGUACACAAAAUAAAGUAAUAUCAACAAUAAAUAAAGCCAAAUAAAAAUCACAUUAACAAGAUCGAAUUCUUGAACCCUGAAUCGGAAGUUCUGGGUUCUUGUCCCCAGCAGAGUCGCCAGAGCUGUCACACCUCCUUUUUACACCCGAGGGUAUAUAAGGGAGUUUUUCCAAUUAAAGUGACAUCAAUCGAAAUAAAAUUAUUUUAUUUAAUUAUUAGUGUCGUCACUUGAAAUAGUUUAUUAUGGUGUCCCAAGUCACAGGUUCAUUUUAAAUCCCAAAUCAAGGAAAUUUUUCGACAUUAUUUAAAAGUCUGCAAACCAGAAAUUCUAGAUAAGGAAUUCUGUUAACCUGGGAUAAGGUGUUAGACAUUCUCGGGUUCCGUGGUUCUAGCACAGUCGCUUAGCGAUUUAUACUUGGCUUAAAUUGUUUAACUACUCAUUUUAGGACCUAUGUGCAUUUAUCUUUUUACCGCUUUCAAUUACUUCAUUAUUCGUAAUCUUGAAAUUAUCUUAAAAGGAGUUACGCGUACGUGUACUCAUUUCGUUUGGCGCGUCAAAAAUCAUAUCAUGCGUACGUGUCCAUCAUUAAUAAUCCUUUAUUAUUAUUAACAAAUUUUAGUCAAAGUUGCGAACGCAUACUUCAAUUCUGUUUUAAAAUCGCAAUUAUGUCAGCGAACGUGUCAACAAUCACGACGAUAAGUUAUACAUGCCUAGAACAAACUAGGAAUAUUCAUAAGUUGAUUAUUUUUCCUAAGAUUUCACAUCCAACAAUUGAAGCCCAAAAUUCAUUCUUUCGGCUAAAUGAAAUUGUAGCCCAUUUAAUUUAAAUCAUGGCAGGUCCGAAUCUUCUCUAUUUUAAAUUAAUGUCUCAAUAUUAGACUUCAAAUGAUCCAUUAACAUUAAAGCAAGUUUCACAGCCCAUUAGUUAUCUAAAUUAGAGUUAGCUCAAAAUACUAAUUCCGGUUAAGUGUUGGCUUUCCCUUAUUUUAAUUUCGAAGCAGCAAUACCCAAAAUUAUCACACUAGAUAUUAUUCAGCAUAUAACAAACAAGAAGAUUUCACAUAUGAAUGUUCAAAACAUGAUUGAAUAUUCGACAAUAGAAAUGAACGAACAAUGAUAUAAGCAUGCAAGAAACUACGGUCUCAUUUCAUAAUCACGCUCAUAACCCAUUUUAUUUAGCCUUGUCCUCACCCAUGAUCAUUAACUCUUGUGCAAAGUUGAUUAUAAAGAGAACAAACUCCCAUUUUCGGAAGUGUAACCUCAUUGCAAAAGAAGGGAUGAUUUGAAGGAUUAAUUAAUCCAAAGAAAGCAGAAAAGAAAUUGGUACAAGAGGAAUUUCAAAUUUUCACUGAAGAAACAGCUAAUUCAACAACCAAAUCCAAACAGCAGUAACAGCUAAAGACAAGCAGUCAUAAUUCACAUUAAACCAAAUUUGGAUAAUAUAGACAUAAGAAAAACAUGCCCACUUAUGAUAUAAUGGAUUGUAGAAGAAAGGAUAACUCAAAUAAAGGCCCAAACCGGCAAGUUGAAGCUCAAGCAAAUUUGAACAACGAGCCUCCAAAGAGAGCUUAGCCGAACAUAUUCAAAUAGAGCUAAAUAAUCAGAUCUUCAUAUGCAAAAUUUGGAACGCAAAAUUCAUCUAGUAAUGAGAAAUUUCCUUUCAGAAUUAAAUUAAUACAGCAACUUAGUCGAGCGAGAUUCGAGUCUAAAAUUUGAACGAGAGGACGACAGCAAAUCAGACUCGGAACCACGAACCUCGUUGUUGAACAAACACCUUUGAACCACGAUACAACAAUAGAGUUUCAAACAAAAUCCAUGAGUGAAAUUUGAAGGCAAAAACAAUUAUUUUACUCUCUAUGUGUCUGUGUCUGUGCAGCGUCAGAAUUGAGAGGGAAUGGAGGAUUUUGCCAAAUUUCCGGCGAGCUUGUCGACUGCUUUCAGGGAGAUGAGGGGUGGGCGAUGGUUGUUUCUCCGGUGAGUUUGGGUUGAGUUGCUAUUGUUGAAGAAGAAGAACCGGAGGGGUCUAUGGUUUGGUUAAGAAGAUGAAGAAAUUGGUU